RNAcentral lists this ribosomal RNA (253 nucleotides) under uncultured bacterium. RNAcentral's name for it is "partial 16S ribosomal RNA". It matches the Rfam family "Bacterial small subunit ribosomal RNA", at positions 524 to 776 of the family's 1533-position model. The record is from RNAcentral.
GACGGAGGAUGCAAGUGUUAUCCGGAAUCACUGGGCGUAAAGCGUCUGUAGGUGGUUAAAUAAGUCAACUGUUAAAUCUUGAGGCUUAACCUCAAAAUCGCAGUCGAAACUAUUAGACUAGAGUAUAGUAGGGGUAAAGGGAAUUUCCAGUGGAGCGGUGAAAUGCGUAGAGAUUGGAAAGAACACCAAUGGCGAAGGCACUUUACUGGGCUAUUACUAACACUCAGAGACGAAAGCUAGGGUAGCAAAUGGG